This is a long non-coding RNA of Arabidopsis thaliana (thale cress), 600 nucleotides long. RefSeq annotates it as other RNA. Lineage: Eukaryota; Viridiplantae; Streptophyta; Magnoliopsida; Brassicales; Brassicaceae. The transcript has a single exon. The record is from RefSeq.
AAAUCUCUGUUGGCUGCGGUGUGGUGUGUCUCCGUUUAGAUGCAGUUUUGGUUCCGGUGUGUCAUGAUGUAGUGCUAACCUUUAACCUUCUUUAUAAUCAGGAUAUGUAGCAAUGCUCCUCCAUUAGCUCUAACUCACCAAAGACAAACUUUGUGCAGCCAGUUCCACGUAAAAAGUGGGGUUUGUUUGUAUUAUUACCUGAUGAUAUAUAAUCGGUUGCUGCUUAUUUAACAGAGGAUGCAUGGGCCUCCUAGUUUCCGAACCUGAUGAUGUUCGGUUUCAAGAGCUGAAAUUGAAUUGUAACAGAAUGAUCAAUAUAGUUAGACCAGUUGUCACUAUUGUUCUGUAGACUCACUAUCGGCCACAUAUAUACAAAGGACUAGAUUCUAAGCAUCACUAUAAAAAAACCAAUAAACUUUCAGAGGGUUUCUAAUAAACUAAAAGAUUUCACCAUAACAGUGGCGGCUGGUGCCACAGCUCACACGCCUGUCUUCAUCAACUCAGGUUCCAGUUUCAUUCUCACACGGCAUUUCAAUCUCUAGAACGAGGGAACACAUGCAACAAAAGCCUCAAAGAUUAACCUCCACCACACGGCAAGAG